CAGUAGCCGCGGGAAUACGUAGGGUCCGAGCGUUGUCCGGAAUUAUUGGGCGUAAAGGGCUCGUAGGCGGUUUGUCGCGUCGGGAGUGAAAUCCAGCAGCUUAACUGCUGGCCUGCUUUCGAUACGGGCAGACUUGAGGCAUUCAGGGGAGAACGGAAUUCCUGGUGUAGCGGUGAAAUGCGCAGAUAUCAGGAGGAACACCGGUGGCGAAGGCGGUUCUCUGGGAAUGUUCUGACGCUGAGGAGCGAAAGUGUGGGGAGCGAACAGGAUUAGAUACCCCGGUAGUCCCUGUCUCUUAUAC
Molecule: ribosomal RNA, 301 nt
Filed under: uncultured bacterium
Lineage: Bacteria
Description: partial 16S ribosomal RNA
Rfam family: Bacterial small subunit ribosomal RNA
Source: RNAcentral